Molecule: ribosomal RNA, 253 nt
Filed under: uncultured bacterium
Lineage: Bacteria
Description: partial 16S ribosomal RNA
Rfam family: Bacterial small subunit ribosomal RNA
Source: RNAcentral
UACGGGGGGGGCAAGCGUUGUUCGGAAUUACUGGGCGUAAAGGGUUCGUAGGUGGCCAACUAAGUCAGACGUGAAAUCCCUCAGCUUAACUGGGGAACUGCGUCUGAUACUGGUUGGCUUGAGUGCAGGAGAGGAACGCGGAAUUCCAGGUGUAGCGGUGAAAUGCGUAGAUAUCAGGAGGAACACCGAUGGCGAAGGCAGGUCUCUGGGCUGACACUGACGCUCAUGCACGAAAGCGUGGGGAGCAAACAGG